GCCCCCUUAGCUCAGCUGGUAGAGCGUCUCCAUGGUAAGGAGAAGGUCUGCGGUUCGAUUCCGCAAGGGGGCU
RNAcentral lists this transfer RNA (73 nucleotides) under Acidimicrobiia bacterium. RNAcentral describes it as "tRNA-Thr". It matches the Rfam family "tRNA". Rfam says of the family: Transfer RNA (tRNA) molecules are approximately 80 nucleotides in length. Their secondary structure includes four short double-helical elements and three loops (D, anti-codon, and T loops). Further hydrogen bonds mediate the characteristic L-shaped molecular structure. tRNAs have two regions of fundamental functional importance: the anti-codon, which is responsible for specific mRNA codon recognition, and the 3' end, to which the tRNAs corresponding amino acid is attached (by aminoacyl-tRNA synthetases). tRNAs cope with the degeneracy of the genetic code in two manners: having more than one tRNA (with a specific anti-codon) for a particular amino acid; and 'wobble' base-pairing, i.e. permitting non-standard base-pairing at the 3rd anti-codon position. The record is from RNAcentral. RNAcentral also lists the same sequence under 2 other names. Lineage: Bacteria; Bacillati; Actinomycetota; Acidimicrobiia.